Molecule: ribosomal RNA, 491 nt
Filed under: uncultured bacterium
Lineage: Bacteria
Description: partial 16S ribosomal RNA
Rfam family: Bacterial small subunit ribosomal RNA
Source: RNAcentral
AGUGAACGCUGGCGGUAGGCCUAACACAUGCAAGUCGAACGGCAGCACAGUAAGAGCUUGCUCUUACGGGUGGCGAGUGGCGGACGGGUGAGGAAUACAUCGGAAUCUACUUUUUCGUGGGGGAUAACGUAGGGAAACUUACGCUAAUACCGCAUACGACCUACGGGUGAAAGCAGUGGAUCUUCGGACCUUGCGCGAUUGAAUGAGCCGAUGUCGGAUUAGCUAGUUGGCGGGGUAAAGGCCCACCAAGGCGACGAUCCGUAGCUGGUCUGAGAGGAUGAUGAGCCACACAGGAAGUGAGACACGACACAGACACCGACGGGAGGCAGCAGUGGGGAAGAUUGGACAAAGGGCGCAAGCCUGAACCAGCCAUGCCGCGUGGGUGAAGAAGGCCUGCGGGUUGUAAAGCCCUUUUGUUGGGAAAGAAAAGCAGCAGGUUAAUACCCCGCUGUUCUGACGGUACCCAAAGAAUAAGCACCGGCUAACUUCGU